GCUGUUGCUGUUGAGUUGCUGCUGCUGUUGCUCAGUUGCUGUCACUGUUGCUGCUGUAGUAUGGCCUAUGUUGUUGAGGUAUUGGUGCAAGAACUCCAAACUCAGCUGCUGCAAGUCCAACCCAAGGCUCAAAGUAGCAUGAUACCUGAAGUGAAUUGCAAUUGUUGGCUGAUAUGUUUCUGAUUUGCAGGUACAGAUACAGGUUUUAGGAGUCCGUCAGCUUAGGAUUCCAUGCAGCACAGCUGGAAGAGGAUCCAUUGUAUCGGGGCCUAGUUUUUGAUACUGUCCACUGAUGUAUAAAAUUGUUUUGUCCAUUCGGGGGUACGACGGGGGUCCUGUCCCGCCAUAUGUUGUCGUUAAUAUUUUUAGAGGUCUGCAGACAUGUGUGUGUGGGUUGUGUAUAUCAGUUUGAUUCAGCUAGGUCUACGUGAUGUACGGUAUAUGUUAUUAUGUUAUGGUAGCCUUGUCGGAUCGCAUGCCCUUUCAUGUUGUGACACAAACGAAAAGGGCUAUAGGACAAUCCCUCCUUAAUAAAUUGUUAUGUGUACGGUGAUGUUUCUAAAGAGGAGAUUAUUUCUGA
Solanum dulcamara is the source of this 580-nucleotide long non-coding RNA. RefSeq lists it as uncharacterized. The transcript has 2 exons. NCBI's taxonomy places the organism in Eukaryota, Viridiplantae, Streptophyta, Magnoliopsida, Solanales, Solanaceae. The record is from RefSeq and is a predicted model, not a curated record.